AAAGAAGUUACUAAGGGCGCACGGGGGAUGCCUGUGGCUCUCAGAGGCGAAGAAGGACGUGAUAAGCUGCGAAAAGCUUGGGGUAGGUGCAAAUAACCGAUGAUCCCGAGAUGUCCGAAUGGGGCAACCCAUCCCACUGAAGGUGGGAUAUUCCGAAAGGAAAGCAAACCCGGAGAACUGAAACAUCUAAGUACCCGGAGGAAGAGAAAAUAAUAAUGAUUCCCCAAGUAGUGGCGAGCGAACGGGGAAGAGCCCAAACCGAAGUUGUUAAGGCAACGUCGGGGUUGUAGGACCACGAUAUAUUUAUUUAUUAUGUAUCAGAACACGGAUGGAAAUCCGGACCAAAGAAGGUGAUAGUCCUGUAGGAGAAACGUAAUAAAUAGAUUAGUGGAAUCCUGAGUACCGCGGGACCGGAGAAAUCCUGUGGGAACCAGGCAGCACCAUCUGCCAAGGCUAAAUACUACUGAGAGACCGAUAGUGAACCAGUACCGUGAGGGAAAGGUGAAAAGCACUCCGAAUAGGAGGGUGAAAGAGAACCUGAAACCGUGCGCUUACAAGCGGUCGGAGUCAGCGUAAGCUGAUGACGGCGUGCCUUUUGCAUAAUGAGCCUACGAGUUACACCUCUCUGGCGAGGUUAAUCCGCACAAGCGGAGGAGCCGAAGCGAAAGCGAGUCUGAAAAGGGCGAGCAGUCAGAGGGGGUAGACGCGAAACUUUGUGAUCUACCCAUGGUCAGAUUGAAGUUCCGGUAACACGGAAUGGAGGAUCGAACCCGUUGACGUUGAAAAGUCUUGGGAUGAACUGUGGGUAGGGGUGAAAGGCUAAUCAAACUGAGAGAUAGCUCGUACUCCCCGAAAUGUUUUUAGGAACAGCCUCAGGAAGAAGUGUCAUACAGGUAGAGCUACUGAUUGGAUGCGGGGGCUUCACCGCCUACCAAAUCCUGACAAACUCCGAAUGGUAUGACAUGGUCCCUGGGAGUGAGGCUAUGGGUGCUAAGGUCCGUGGCCGAGAGGGAAAGAACCCAGACCAUCAGCUAAGGUCCCCAAAUAUAUGCUAAGUUGGUUUAACGAGGUCUGAUUGCAUUGACAGCUAGGAUGUUGGCUUGGAAGCAGCCAUUCAUUUAAAGAGUGCGUAACAGCUCACUAGUCGAGCGAUCGGGCAUGGAUAAUAAUCGGGCAUAAGCAUAUUACCGAAGCUAUGGAUUGAUACUAUACGUAUCACUGGUAGGGGAGCAUUCCAAAGUUGCAGAAGCAGUAUUGUAAAGUGCUGUGGAGAUUUUGGAAAAGCAAAUGUAGGCAUAAGUAACGAUAAUGAGGGUGGGAAACCCUCACGCCGGAAGACUAAGGUUUCCUGAUCAACGCUAAUCGGAUCAGGGUUAGUCGGGUCCUAAGGAGAAGCCGAAGGGCGUAUCUGAUGGAUAAAUGGUUAAUAUUCCAUUACCGCCAAUAACUGCGAAGGGGUGACGAAGUAGUGAAAGGUCUGCCAUCUGACGGAAUAGAUGGUUAAAGGGUGUAGAUAUAUGAGAGGCAGGCAAAUCCGCUUUUCAUGUCGAACCUGAUAGUACCGAGAGUUUUCGGACAAUCGGAUAAUGACUGUAAACAGACUUCCAAGAAAAACCUCUAAGCUUCAGGUUAUUGGUGCCCGUACCGCAAACCGACACAGGUAGUCGAGGAGAGUAUCCAAAGGCGCUCGAGUGAGUCAUGGCUAAGGAACUAGGCAAAUUAACCCUGUAACUUCGGGAGAAAGGGUCCCUCAGCAAUGAGGGCGCAGAGAAAUGGCCCAGGCGACUGUUUAACAAAAACACAUGGCUUUGCAAAAUUGAAAGAUGAAGUAUAAGGCCUGACACCUGCCCGGUGCUGGAAGGUUAAGAGGAGAUGUCAUCGCAAGAGAAGCAUUGAAUCGAAGCCCCAGUAAACGGCGGCCGUAACUAUAACGGUCCUAAGGUAGCGAAAUUCCUUGUCGGGUAAGUUCCGACCUGCACGAAUGGUGUAACGAUCUGGGCACUGUCUCAGCCAUGAGCUCGGUGAAAUUGUAGUAGCGGUGAAGAUGCCGCUUACCCGCAACGGGACGGAAAGACCCCGUGCACCUUUACUAUAGCUUAACAUUGACUUUGAAUAAACGAUGUGUAGGAUAGGUGGGAGACAAUGAAGCGGGCUCGCUAGGGUUCGUGGAGUCAACGUUGAAAUACCACCCUUUGUUUCUUCGGAGCCUAAUCUGAUAAAAAUCGGAGACAGUGUUUGGUGGGUAGUUUGACUGGGGUGGUCGCCUCCAAAAGCGUAACGGAGGCUUUCAAAGGUAUGCUCAGUACGCUUGGUAACCGUACGCAGAGUGCAAUAGCAUAAGCAUGCUUGACUGUGAGACAAACAAGUCGACCAGGUAGGAAACUAGGAUAUAGUGAUCCGGUGGUUCCGUAUGGAAGGGCCAUCGCUCAAAGGAUAAAAGGUACGCCGGGGAUAACAGGCUGAUCACUCCCAAGAGCUCACAUCGACGGAGUGGUUUGGCACCUCGAUGUCGGCUCGUCAUAUCCUGGGGCUGGAGAAGGUCCCAAGGGUUCGGCUGUUCGCCGAUUAAAAUGGCACGCGAGCUGGGUUCAGAACGUCGUGAGACAGUUCGGUCCCUAUCUGUUGUGGGCGUUGGAAGUUUGCGAGGAGCUGACCUUAGUACGAGAGGACCGGGUUGGACAAACCUCUGGUGUACCUGUUGUGGAGCCAAUCUGCAUAGCAGGGUAGCUACGUUUGGAAGAGAUAAGCGCUGAAAGCAUCUAAGCGCGAAACUCGCCUCAAGAUGAGACUUCCCUUGAGGGUCGUCGAAGACUACGACGUUGAUAGGCUGCAGGUGUAAAGGUGGUAACAUCAAAGCCGAGCAGUACUAAUAGCCCGAUGACUUCUUU
This 2888-nucleotide ribosomal RNA is filed under the name Bacteroidetes bacterium GWE2_42_24. Its description in RNAcentral is "bacterial LSU rRNA". It matches the Rfam family "Bacterial large subunit ribosomal RNA". Lineage: Bacteria; Pseudomonadati; Bacteroidota. The record is from RNAcentral.